UACGGAGGGUGCGAGCGUUAUUCGGAUUCACUGGGCGUAAAGAGCACGUAGGCGGCUUGGUAAGUCUGACGUGAAAGCCCUCGACUUAAUCGAGGAAGUGCAUUGGAUACUGCCAGGCUAGAGUACAGGAGAGGAAGAUGGAAUUCCCGGUGUAGAGGUGAAAUUCGUAGAUAUCGGGAGGAACAACAGAGGCGAAGGCGAUCUUCUGGACUGUAACUGACGCUGAGGUGCGAAAGUGUGGGGAGCAAACAGG
This 253-nucleotide ribosomal RNA is filed under the name uncultured bacterium. Its description in RNAcentral is "partial 16S ribosomal RNA". It matches the Rfam family "Bacterial small subunit ribosomal RNA", at positions 524 to 776 of the family's 1533-position model. The record is from RNAcentral.